GAUGAAGAACGUAGCGAAAUCCGAUACUUGGUGUGAAUUGCAGAAUCCCGUGAACCAUCGAGUCUUUGAACGCAAGUUGCGCCUCAAGCCAUUAGGUUGAGGGCACGUCUGCCUGGGCGUCACAUAUCGUUGCCUGAUGCCAGUUUCCUCGUGAUGGGUGACUGUGCAGGGCGAAUGAUGGCUUCCCGUGAGCAUUGUUGCCUCAUGGUUGGUUGAAAAUUGAGUCCUUGGUAGGGAGCGCCGUGAUAGAUGGUGGUUGAGUGACGAACGAGACCCAAUCAUGUGAGACCCCUACCGAAUUUGGCCUUCAUGACCCACAUGCGUCUUUGGAACGCUCAUGACGAGACCUCAGGUCAGGCGGGGCUACCCGCUGAGUUUAAGCAUAUCAAUAAGCGGAGGA
Molecule: unclassified non-coding RNA, 400 nt
Filed under: soil metagenome
Description: partial contains 5.8S ribosomal RNA, internal transcribed spacer 2, and large subunit ribosomal RNA
Rfam family: 5.8S ribosomal RNA (bases 1-122)
Source: RNAcentral